GGGGCAGCCCGUCAGGAAGUCCACGAUCCAGUUGCAGAGGGAGGUGUUUAGUCCCAGGGUCCUUAGCUUAGUGAUGAGCUUUGAGGCAGACAGGCAGGCAGCUUUUCUUAGCCAGCCGAAUCAUGAAUCAGCUGGCAUAAUUUGUAUAGAUAUAUACCAGGAAAUGUCAAUAGAAAACAGGUAUCAUGGCUCGAGAUUUCUUUGAGGAAGAAAUCAUCAAGAUAUAGGGUCCAGCAUAUAUCAGAGAGGUGUUUCUGGGACCACAUCGUUUCUUUGAAGACAAUACCCAAAAUACAAUGCCGCCUGGGUUUGCAUUGCAAAUGGGGACAUAAACGGUGUCAAGACACCAGCAGAGUCGCCUGAUUUAAACCCGAUCAAACUUGUUUGGCAUCAACUGAAAACAUUAAUUCGUAACUCUGCCAAGCCUACAAGCAAAGAUGAACUGGUCAAGGCCAUCAAGACGUUUUGGCUAGAGAAAUUGACAUACAACAAUGCAACAAAUACAGUGAUCAUCUCAGCAAGGUUUUACCUGUGGUCGUAGAGCUGGGUGGAAGUGCAACUAAGAUGUACUUUAAAUAAACAUCUGCAUAUUGAAUGUCUUUUUCCUUGUUAUUUUAAUAACGAAAGCAUAAAGAUGUUGAUGAAGAAAUACUGUACUGAUGUUUUGAGUUAGAAAUGUAACACUUUACUGGAAUUAAGCAUCGAAUACAUUGCAAGUAGGGGCAUGUUCACACCUACAAUAGCCGAGCUAUAAAGAGUCUAUUAUCCUGCUAAUACUGUGGUGCUAGACCUGCUGCAGUAUACUUGUAAAAAAACAAGUGUUUGUAAACCUGUUUUCAAAAUGCCUCCAACUGUCCAUCACUUCUGUAAAUGAAAAACACAACAUCUUGUUUACAUCCUGUUUACAUUCUUUAUUGUAACCACAAUGUCACAAAUACUUUGUAUCUACCUUUCCAAUUACUUUUAGUUUGGGAUCUACAAAUGUGCCCUUUUC
Molecule: long non-coding RNA, 994 nt
Filed under: Salmo salar (Atlantic salmon)
Lineage: Eukaryota; Metazoa; Chordata; Actinopteri; Salmoniformes; Salmonidae
Description: lncRNA (ENSSSAG00000089318.1)
Source: RNAcentral